This 79-nucleotide non-coding RNA is filed under the name uncultured Alphaproteobacteria bacterium. Lineage: Bacteria; Pseudomonadati; Pseudomonadota; Alphaproteobacteria. The record is from RNAcentral.
GGGAUGCAGGGCGCCGAUUUGAGCGAUCAGCUUGCGGGCGCGGUACAAAUGCAGCUAAAGCGUCGGGAUGUGACCAUCA